CGAGAAAGCCCGCAAGGGUGAGUAAAGCGGCGCACGGGUGCGUAACACGUGGGUAAUCUGCCCUGGAGUCCGGAAUAACUCGCCGAAAGGCGUGCUAAUGCCGGAUAAGACCACGGGAGCUUCGGCUCCUGCGGGAAAAGGUGGCCUCUGCAUGCAAGCUAUCACUUCAGGAUGAGCCCGCGGCCCAUCAGCUAGUUGGCGGGGUAAUGGCCCACCAAGGCGACGACGGGUAGCUGGUCUGAGAGGACGAUCAGCCACACUGGAACUGAGACACGGUCCAGACUCCUACGGGAGGCAGCAGUGGGGAAUCUUGCGCAAUGGGCGAAGGCCUGACGCAGCAACGCCGCGUGUGUGAUGAAGGUCUUCGGAUCGUAAAGCACUGUCGCGAGGGACG
This 394-nucleotide ribosomal RNA is filed under the name uncultured Anaeromyxobacter sp. RNAcentral's name for it is "bacterial SSU rRNA". It matches the Rfam family "Bacterial small subunit ribosomal RNA", at positions 67 to 447 of the family's 1533-position model. Lineage: Bacteria; Pseudomonadati; Myxococcota; Myxococcia; Myxococcales; Anaeromyxobacteraceae. The record is from RNAcentral.